RNAcentral lists this non-coding RNA (75 nucleotides) under Desulfobacteraceae bacterium 4572_35.1. Lineage: Bacteria; Pseudomonadati; Thermodesulfobacteriota; Desulfobacteria; Desulfobacterales; Desulfobacteraceae. The record is from RNAcentral.
AAACGAAACCGACAGCAGUACACACUGGUGGCGGUCGUCAAAGCAUGGCGGCUUUGGCCUGAUGAGUAGCCAAAU